UACGUAGGGACCGAGCGUUGUCCGGAAUCAUUGGGCGUAAAGAGCGUGUAGGCGGCUUGCUAAGUCUUGCGUGAAAUCUCGGGGCUCAACCCCGAGCGGUCGUGGGAAACUGGCAGGCUAGAGUGCGGGAGAGGAGAAUGGAAUUCCUGGUGUAGCGGUGAAAUGCGCAGAUAUCGAGAGGAACACCGGUGGCGAAGGCGGCAUCCUGGACCGACACUGACGCUGAGGCGCGAAAGCUAGGGUAGCAAACGGG
Molecule: ribosomal RNA, 253 nt
Filed under: uncultured bacterium
Lineage: Bacteria
Description: partial 16S ribosomal RNA
Rfam family: Bacterial small subunit ribosomal RNA
Source: RNAcentral